This 6007-nucleotide long non-coding RNA is filed under the name Sus scrofa (pig). RNAcentral describes it as "lncRNA (ENSSSCG00015034301.1)". Lineage: Eukaryota; Metazoa; Chordata; Mammalia; Artiodactyla; Suidae. The record is from RNAcentral.
AGGAGCUGGAAGCUCGGGUCCCAGAAGGUCAGCAUCUCUUUGAAAACCUCCUUCGUCUUGGACCAGCGAGGGGGUCUUUGGAUGAGCUGGAGGAUCUGCGCUACCGGUGGAUGCUGUACAAGUCCAAACUCAAGGACUCCAGCCUCCUGCUGACGGGGAGUUCUCCAGGGGAGCCGACUGGAUUCCAAAAGACUCCACGGGGGCGAGGGCUGGGCGCCUUCUGCCGGAAGGUGUGCUGCGUGGCGCUCCCCCUGCAGCUGCUGCUGCUGCUGCUGCUCCUGCUGCUCUUCCUGCUCCCCGUCGGGGAGGAGCAUCGCAGCUGCUCGCUGGCCAACAACUUCGCCCGCUCCUUCAGGUUCAUGCUCCGCUACAACGGCCCCCCACCCACUUAGCCCCCCUGGACCACGCGGGCCACAUUCUUCUCCAAACUUCCAUCAGCCCCGGGGCUCCUCCAGAGGAUGCGGGGGAAACUGGAAACAGGGCAAGCGGAGCCCGCGGAGCUGCAUCCAUGUAAAUACUGUAUCUGUGGUCUUCAAAAGAAUGUUACUUUUAUACAAUACCCUCUUAGUCUGUUUAUACCAAAUGUGUACCCUGUGUGAUGAGGGGGUAAGGCACAGCAUUUUUAUACGCUCUGUGUGCACAUGCUCAGUCUGUAUAAUUUCAUAUAUGACCUCUAUUUGUCAUUGGGAAGAUUCCCAGCAGCGUACUUGUCCAUGGGAUCUUGUAGCCUUUUGGCUUUGGUCUGCAGUCAGCCCUGGAAAGCAGGAGCAACAACAUGUCGCUUUUCCAGCCACCUCCUCCCAUCCAAGAGGCAAGCUCCCCACCCAGAUGUUCUGGAAGAGGCUGCCGAGGUGUCAGCAUGCAAGAACAACACUGGCCCUCACUCAGAGCCCAGUAACUCUUGCUUUACGCACAGUGAGAACAGUCAUGCUCGUCUCGUCUUUAAAUUGACAAUGAAUUAGAUGCCGUGGAUUAGAGCGGAGAGGGUGCGGAUCCCGGGCAAGCUGAGUGACAGCAGUGAAAAGUGGCACGUGAUAGAGCGAGGUUAGGGAGGAAAAGAACCCCAGAGAGAAGACCCGGCACUAAGCAAGCACCGCAGAACAUGGGGACAUCAAGUGCAAGGGGCCCGGACAGCGCGGACCAGCGAUGAACGUCCAAGGUCGGGAUGCCGAGUCUUCAGGAAGUGGUUAGCUUGAGCUCCGUGUGUUGUUUGCCCUGUUCAGGGAGAAUGUGACAGAGAGACAUCAUAUGGUUAAGAUUUUGAUCCCCAAGGGUAAGCAGUCCGUGCACCACCCACCUGACAUGCCCGCCAAGAUGUGUCACCUCCGUCGCUCUUUGGCUGAGUUUUUUUCAUCAUCUAAGACUCAGGUUGAAGGGACAGAGGGGAGCAUCUGCCGCAUCAGGGACCAGGGCUCGAGGGUCCAAGGCAGAGAGGAGAGGUCCGCCCUGGAGCUGAGCCUGUCUGUCCCUCCUCCUCCAGAAGGGACUUUGGAGAGAGGUGGGUCCUCUGGGCCAAGAAUGUCCCACCUGUGCACCCACAAGGGACCCAGGUCCCUGUUGAGCGGGGCGUGGCAGUCAGGCCCACAGACCGCUUGCGCUUUGAGGCUGGAACUGCCUUCCUCCCCCCAGGGAAUUAGCAACAGUUCCUAAGUGCUUCAUAACUGGAUCUUAUUUUCCCCAAAUCGACACUAGUUUUCCUUUUUAAAAAAUGCUGGAGCUCUCCUUGUGGCUCUCAGUCGGUUAAGAACCUGACUAGCCAGGGAUCGAACCCGCAACCUCAUGGUUCCUAGUCGGAUUCGUUAACCACUGCGCCACGACGGGAACUCCCGAUGACCGGUGUUUUUACAGACCAUCUUGGUCCAACCUCGUACCCCUUUUACAUGUGAGGAAAUUGAGGUGCUGACAGCUGCUGUUCACUUGGUGAAUUCAGGGAGUUCCUUCCAGAGGCGGGAGUAGAUCUCUGCACCCAGUGGGUGACAGAGUGACACUGCUCAGGCUGACCAGGGUGGAGAGGGAGCUCUGCUGUUAAGAGAUGGGGGACCUUGGGGGAGCCCCCUGCCCCCUCCCCGCCAGCCACUGGUAAAGGGGAUAUUAGCCCUAGCAUCUUCAGGGCUGCCUGAAAUAUUAGAUAUUUGGAGAAGGUGAUGGUGGACUUCCGUCUGGUGCAGAACCCCUAGAUUCAGCCACAAGUGUCAGAAGCCACCCCCCCGCCCCGCAACCUUGACUUAAACAAAUCAGGGCAUUGCUCUUCCCUUAUCCUGAGAGGUCAAGAGCCAAGCAGUUGUUAGCAUCAUUUUCUCAACUCUAGAAUGUCAGGACCAAGGUUCUGCAGCUCUCUUUUCUUUUCCUUGUGGUUACCUCAUGGCCCAAGAUGCUUGCUCUACCUCCGGAUUUUUCAUCUGAGUUCCAGGUUGGAAGAAGGAGAAUGGGCUGGGUGAACCGGCUCAACUUUUCAGCUUUCCCAGAAACUCUGCCCAGAUACUUGUGUUGACCUCUCAUUGGUCAGACCUGUGUCACAUGGUUCCUCUCCAUCUGCCAGGAGUCUGGAAACUUGUCCCCCCACAAAAUGAGCAUCUUUUAGCAAGAAGGAAGGAUUGGGGUGGCACUUAGAUGUCUCUGCUGCAGCCAUCCUGAUCCUCUGUGUCUUGAUCUCAUGUUCCGUCAGCUGAACUUGGAGGCAUUUAUCAUUGAGGCGUGAGAAAGGUCUUCCACCACUGCCUCCCCAGAGUCCCUCCCCCUCCCCAAGGUGCCACAGCCAGACAAGGCCCACCUUCUUACAAGACUUCAAAUAAAUCAGGUUCCUUUCUUGGUCAGACUAUAUGCGGGGGCAGCCCUCCCAUCCCAUCCUGACCGUGUAGACCCAAGGAUAAAUUUUUUAACACUCUUGUGUUUGGAUUCAGCCCAGGAAAUGUAUAUUUGCUUUAAUUUCUUCUGGAACAUGAGUUACUCCUGGGUGCAAAUCCUGGAAAGAGAGUCUCUCUGAGCUUUUCCAGGCUGGUCUCCCAUUUUUCAGCAGACCGUGGAGGCCUCAAAAGCAUUAGGCUAGCAGAGCCCAUGGCGCCUCCAGCAGAAGAUGAGAUUCAAAGGACUUAAACCAUCAUUUCUCCCUUGGUUUCAAUUGCAAGAGAAAGGCUUCUUGUCUGUCAUAUUAGAAAAGGGGGGAAUUCAUUUUUAAAAGGAAAUUAAAAAGACAAAAGCUUACGGUUUAAAAACAGAUCAUAAGGCAGAGUACCCAGAGCCUUAAAGAACAGUCAGCCCAUUCCACAUCCUCCAGUGGUUGUCAUGGUAACGUCACAGCUGCUAACAGGUUGGUACCCAACCACCUUGGGCAGACAGGGGAGAGUAAUCAUACAGAGGGACCACGGCUUCUCCGAAGGGUCCUGGGCUUGCUUUCAGGAAUCCCUACUUCUGAGCUCAGCAACCAGAGCAAGGCUGGCAGCCCUGUCCUGUUGGAAAUGGGAGAGAAGAAACACAUUGAGAACAGACCAGGUGGCCCUAAUUCCUUCCCAAAGCGCAUGGCAUCACAGCCUUGUUUUUAGACCCUGAAACCAGAGUACGGGGAAGGUUAGCAGCCUGCCCAUAAGCAGCCAGCUUGGGCAAGCAGUCAGUUUGGGACGUGAACCCAGGGGUGAUGGGAUCCAGGCGUCUCCACGGAAAUUCACCUCCAGCUUCUUUUCUUUCCCUGGCAGGCCCCAGGCUGCCGCUGCUUUGGCAGCUGGUUAGCUGGGUAGGGGUGACAUCCCACAGCAGGGUCUGCGGGAAUUCUUUCUGGUGCCCAGUCCCCCAGGGAGCUGGCACCACCAAGGCGACAUGCUGGGGGACAGAGGCAGGUGCCUGCCUUCCCUGGAAAAAAUAGAAACAGACCACCUUGUAUAUAGGCAGCGCCACCUCUUGUGCAGGACAGGGUCGGCUUUGUGACACUUCUGCCUCUGGAACAGUUCUGAUGCCUUCACUGGAGGGAAAAAAAGAGGCAUUGUCUCUCCAGAGGUAGUGGCCUUACAUGUUCUAGAAGUUCUAUGGGUGAGGAAAAAAUGGACAGAGUAAGUUCUGUGUGAAUGUGGUGUAUGUGCGUGUGUGUGUGUGCACUCUUGUGCACGCGUGUGUGUGCUUGCCUGUGUGUGCCUACACUACAUGCUUAUCUCCACCUGCUAGCACAGCUGCGCAGCCCUUGUUCUCAUCCCUGGGCUUGUGGACAACAGACACCACCAGCCUGGGGUCUCUGGGAACCUCAGGACAUUUCCUGAUUCCAGCUUUUAUGCCUCUCAUAGGAGCAACUGGUUUCCGCACCCCACCCCUCACCGCUGUUCCCCACACAAAGGGAAGGUCUGUUGACCCCUGAGAUCUCUGCCAACUGGAAACUCCCUCAGGCUGGUUCAGAAACAAGUGCUCUCUUUCUCAGGCCAGCAUCUCUCUUUCUCAGGCCAGUGUCUCUCUUUCUCAGGCCAGCAUCUCUCUUUCUCAGGCCAGCAUCUCUCUUUCUCAGGCCAGCGUCUCUCUUUCUCAGGCCAGCGUAUGACCUGGACCUGCUCGUGGAGGAGGACUUAGCCCCAGGGGAGCUGGUUUGCCCCUUUCUCUCCCUCUCUCUCUCUGUCUGUCUGUGUGUUUCAGAAAUCAAUGAUGUUCAAAUAUGCUAAAGACCCAGGGUUUGAUCAUUUAACAGCUCGCAGUUAAAUACACCUCGGGUCCUGUCCAUUUCCCUGCUCUCGACCACUGUUUAUUAAAACAGUCUUGAUGGUUCCCUAUCUCCUUAUGGUCUAAAUGUAUGUGAGUGAGGAAUUACAGCUCUACAUUCUCCUUUGUGUCGAAUUUUGUAGGACUUGGUUGAGGAAGUGUCAGCUUUUAUUCGUUUCAUUUUUUCAUUUAUAUUUAUUCCAUGUUUUCCUCCAGAAAACGUUGAAGGCAAGAUUUGAAUGUGUACAUGGGCAGCGCGAGGAUUGUGAGGGUAGAAAUAGCUUGUUUCUUGAUGUGCGUAAUAUAUUUUUAACCAAUAAGUGGAUUGGCUAAUGUAAAAAAUAUAUAUACCCAGUGCCCCAGAAGGGAGGGCGGGAGAGAGGGGGGAAGGAAGGGGGAGGGGGAGGGAAACCAGUGACAGUUCGGUGAAUUUGCUCAGCACCCAAGGUGCCCGAAGCAGGAAAAGUGGCAGGUUUAGGACACCAGCGCUGGAGAAAUGACUACUCUUCUCCUCCAUUUCAAGUCGAGGAGAUAAGCCCUGUCAUCCCGAAGCAGGUCAGCCUGAUGGAUUUGUUAGUUUCUCUCAUCUCCUUUCCCCAGGGGGGGUGUGUGGGGGGGUGGGCUUGGGAACCAGAGGGCCCCUCGCCUCCCCAGGACCCCACGUGGAGGCAGCAGCCACCUUCCUGCUUCACCUUCAGUCAGGUCCACAGAGCCCAAGUCACCCCAUCUUUCCCUCAAAGCCCUGGCGACACUAACGGCAUCCUGACCCACUGUUCCUGGGGCAACACACAGGUGGUCUGGUUAACACACGGGUGAGCCUGGGGGCGGGGGGCAUGGAGGAGGGUGUGGGUGUGGGUGGGUGUGAGUGCGUGUCGAUGCCAUGUCUGCGGGUUUGGUGUCAAAAGCGUACUAACCUCAUUGUGGAAAAUGUUCUUUAUGUAAACAGUAGGCACAGGGACCAUCCCACUCCCGCCAUAGUGUCUGUGAUUGUGAAACACGCGUGUGGCAUAAAUCAAGCUUUCUGGGAAGGCAAGCGGAGUGGGAGCCAAAUGGCUGUUUUGGACCACGUGUGUGUUAUCUGGGUUCAUAUCAAGUCCAAAACCGGCCGCGCGCAUCCUUCCCGCCUCUCUGCUCAGGAGGGAGGAGCUCCAGCCUGUCCACUACCCUCUCGACGCUGCCUUUUAAAGUCACGGGACGUUUCCUUCCCCUUCUUCUUGUUCGCGUUGGAAGCAGCCGUGUUCUCAGAGAUGGUUUGACAUGUUUGCUCUUCGCUUUAUGUUUUCCAAGAUGUUAUCUGCUUUAUGUUUGGAAAUAAAAAAAUCUCUAUUUUGGUCUA